Molecule: ribosomal RNA, 465 nt
Filed under: Vreelandella stevensii
Lineage: Bacteria; Pseudomonadati; Pseudomonadota; Gammaproteobacteria; Oceanospirillales; Halomonadaceae
Description: partial 16S ribosomal RNA
Rfam family: Bacterial small subunit ribosomal RNA
Source: RNAcentral
CCUACGGGCGGCAGCAGUGGGGAAUAUUGGACAAUGGGGGGAACCCUGAUCCAGCCAUGCCGCGUGUGUGAAGAAGGCCCUCGGGUUGUAAAGCACUUUCAGUGAGGAAGAACGCCUGGUGGUUAAUACCCAUCAGGAAAGACAUCACUCACAGAAGAAGCACCGGCUAACUCCGUGCCAGCAGCCGCGGUAAUACGGAGGGUGCGAGCGUUAAUCGGAAUUACUGGGCGUAAAGCGCGCGUAGGUGGCUUGAUAAGCCGGUUGUGAAAGCCCCGGGCUCAACCUGGGAACGGCAUCCGGAACUGUCAAGCUAGAGUGCAGGAGAGGAAGGUAGAAUUCCCGGUGUAGCGGUGAAAUGCGUAGAGAUCGGGAGGAAUACCAGUGGCGAAGGCGGCCUUCUGGACUGACACUGACACUGAGGUGCGAAAGCGUGAGUAGCAAACAGGAUUAGAUACCCGGGUAGUC